This 487-nucleotide ribosomal RNA is filed under the name uncultured bacterium. RNAcentral describes it as "bacterial SSU rRNA". It matches the Rfam family "Bacterial small subunit ribosomal RNA", at positions 29 to 507 of the family's 1533-position model. The record is from RNAcentral.
AUGAACGCUAGCGGCAGGCUUAAUACAUGCAAGUCGUGGGGCAGCAGGUUUGUAGCAAUACAGAUGCUGGCGACCGGCAAACGGGUGCGGAACACGUACAGAACCUUCCUUUGAGCGGGGAAUAGCCCAGAGAAAUUUGGAUUAAUACCCCAUAGUAUAAUGAAGUGGCAUCACUUUAUUAUUAAAGAUUUAUCACUCGAAGAUGGCUGUGCGGCUGAUUAGGUAGUUGGCGGGGUAAAGGCCCACCAAGCCUGCGAUCAGUAACUGGUGUGAGAGCACGACCAGUCACACGGGCACUGAGACACGGGCCCGACUCCUACGGGAGGCAGCAGUAAGGAAUAUUGGUCAAUGGAGGCAACUCUGAACCAGCCAUGCCGCGUGGAGGAUGAAGGUCCUCUGGAUUGUAAACUUCUUUUAUAUGGGACGAAAAAAGGCUUUUCUAAGUCGUCUGACGGUACCAUAUGAAUAAGCACCGGCUAACUCCGUG